UACAAACAUUUGCCAUCACUAAAAGAGUACCAUAAACGAAGAAAGUGUGCAGCGUGUCGUAACGGUUGUUAUCAGCGAUUAUUAUUGAGUGUGCCUUAUCGAGAUUGAGUAUGCGAAUUGUUAAUGUGGUAUUACCUCCGUAUUAACAUGUCGAACUUGUUUAAUUCAUAUAAUGAAAUGCUUCGUUUUUAUAUGAGUGGUCAAUAGAUUAGAUUAUCAUGGGUAACCGUACGUAAUCUGCUAGCUCACAUGUGUUUCAAUUAGGUAAGUUCUUGUCAGAAAUUAUGAAAAUGUUUAUAUUUCAUUACGAUUAUUUAUUGGCAAUGAAUAAUAGUGGCUGAUAUGAUAUCAUUAUUUCGAUUAAUGAAUAAGAAUUAUACCUAUUGUAAGGAAAAGAAGCGACGGAUUGUAUACAAAAAUUCACAUGACAUUUUAUAUGUAGGUAACUGGUGCGCUGUUGUAUAUUUCGGCCAAUAAAGAGAGAAUGGGUAAAGUUCACAAACGGACUUUCGGGGAAAACGUGCACAAUUUUUUAGUGGAGAACCAGAUUAUAGUUAAAUAUGGAGGGCAGAUACUUCAACCACCAAAUGAAGACGCUUACUUCGAUGCUCUCAGAGUAUGAUAAUGAAACGCUCUGCUUCGGAAGUUCCUUAUGUGGCCUUCAGCAAUCAUUUAAGAAUUUUCCAAAAAUCGAUUUUUUUUUUAUUUUCUUAAUGUACAUAAAUUUAAGAAUACAAACAGAAAAUUUUAUAUCGUUCCGGUUUGAAAAAGCGUUUGAGAGCGCUUGGAAGUACAAGGACAAAUUUUAAACUCGGUUUUUCAAAGUAAAAAAAAUUUGGAAAAUUA
Molecule: long non-coding RNA, 846 nt
Organism: Bactrocera neohumeralis
Lineage: Eukaryota; Metazoa; Arthropoda; Insecta; Diptera; Tephritidae
Exons: 2
Source: RefSeq, a predicted model, not a curated record